This 845-nucleotide ribosomal RNA is filed under the name Alternaria daucifolii. RNAcentral's name for it is "partial large subunit ribosomal RNA". It matches the Rfam family "Eukaryotic large subunit ribosomal RNA", at positions 75 to 938 of the family's 3401-position model. Lineage: Eukaryota; Fungi; Ascomycota; Dothideomycetes; Pleosporales; Pleosporaceae. The record is from RNAcentral.
UUGCCCUAGUAACGGCGAGUGAAGCGGCAACAGCUCAAAUUUGAAAUCUGGCUCUUUUAGAGUCCGAGUUGUAAUUUGCAGAGGGCGCUUUGGCUUUGGCAGCGGUCCAAGUUCCUUGGAACAGGACGUCACAGAGGGUGAGAAUCCCGUACGUGGUCGCUGGCUAUUGCCGUGUAAAGCCCCUUCGACGAGUCGAGUUGUUUGGGAAUGCAGCUCUAAAUGGGAGGUACAUUUCUUCUAAAGCUAAAUAUUGGCCAGAGACCGAUAGCGCACAAGUAGAGUGAUCGAAAGAUGAAAAGCACUUUGGAAAGAGAGUCAAACAGCACGUGAAAUUGUUGAAAGGGAAGCGCUUGCAGCCAGACUUGCUUACAGUUGCUCAUCCGGGUUUUUACCCGGUGCACUCUUCUGUAGGCAGGCCAGCAUCAGUUUGGGCGGUAGGAUAAAGGUCUCUGUCACGUACCUCCUUUCGGGGAGGCCUUAUAGGGGAGACGACAUACUACCAGCCUGGACUGAGGUCCGCGCAUCUGCUAGGAUGCUGGCGUAAUGGCUGUAAGCGGCCCGUCUUGAAACACGGACCAAGGAGUCUAACAUCUAUGCGAGUGUUUGGGUGUCAAGCCCGAGCGCGUAAUGAAAGUGAACGGAGGUGGGAACCCGCAAGGGUGCACCAUCGACCGAUCCUGAUGUCUUCGGAAGGAUUUGAGUAAGAGCAUGGCUGUUGGGACCCGAAAGAUGGUGAACUAUGCUUGAAUAGGGUGAAGCCAGAGGAAACUCUGGUGGAGGCUCGCAGCGGUUCUGACGUGCAAAUCGAUCGUCAAAUUUGGGCAUAGGGGCGAAAGACUAAUCCG